UAACAUGUUCAGUAAAAGGUG
RNAcentral lists this non-coding RNA (21 nucleotides) under Caenorhabditis elegans. Lineage: Eukaryota; Metazoa; Nematoda; Chromadorea; Rhabditida; Rhabditidae. The record is from RNAcentral.